This 250-nucleotide ribosomal RNA is filed under the name uncultured prokaryote. RNAcentral's name for it is "partial 16S ribosomal RNA". It matches the Rfam family "Bacterial small subunit ribosomal RNA", at positions 524 to 773 of the family's 1533-position model. The record is from RNAcentral.
UACGUAGGGUGCGAGCGUUGUCCGGAAUUAUUGGGCGUAAAGGGCUCGUAGGCGGUUUGUCGCGUCGGGAGUGAAAACCAGGUGCUUAACACCUGGCUUGCUUUCGAUACGGGCAGACUAGAGGUAUUCAGGGGAGAACGGAAUUCCUGGUGUAGCGGUGAAAUGCGCAGAUAUCAGGAGGAACACCGGUGGCGAAGGCGGUUCUCUGGGAAUAUCCUGACGCUGAGGAGCGAAAGUGUGGGGAGCGAAC